RNAcentral lists this ribosomal RNA (400 nucleotides) under uncultured bacterium. RNAcentral's name for it is "bacterial SSU rRNA". It matches the Rfam family "Bacterial small subunit ribosomal RNA", at positions 30 to 429 of the family's 1533-position model. The record is from RNAcentral.
AUUGAACGCUGGCGGCAUGCCUUACACAUGCAAGUCGAACGGCAGCACGGGAGCUUGCUCCUGGUGGCGAGUGGCGAACGGGUGAGCAAUGCAUCGGAACGUGCCCUGAAGUGGGGGAUAACGUAGCGAAAGUUACGCUAAUACCGCAUAUUCUGUGAGCAGGAAAGCAGGGGGAUCUUCGGACCUUGCGCUUUUGGAGCGGCCGAUGUCGGAUUAGCUAGUUGGUGGGGUAAAGGCCCACCAAGGCGACGAUCUGUAGCGGGUCUGAGAGGAUGAUCCGCCACACUGGAACUGAGACACGGUCCAGACUCCUACGGGAGGCAGCAGUGGGGAAUUUUGGACAAUGGGCGCAAGCCUGAUCCAGCCAUGCCGCGUGAGUGAAGAAGGCCUCGGUUGUAAG